CGAGUGAAGAGGGAAGAGCCCAAGAUUGAAAGCUGGCGCCUUCGGCGUCCGCAUUGUAAUCUCAAGAAGUGUUUUCCGCUUCGGACCAUGCCUAAGUCCCUUGGAAAAGGGCAUCAUAGAGGGUGAUAAUCCCGUACAUGGCAUGGAGCGCCCGAAGCUUUGUGAUACGCUUUCUAAGAGUCGAGUUGUUUGGGAAUGCAGCUCAAAAUGGGUGGUAAAUGCCAUCUAAGGCUAAAUAUUGGGGAGAGACCGAUAGCGAACAAGUACAGUGAUGGAAAGAUGAAAAGAACUUUGAAAAGAGAGUUAAACAGUACGUGAAAUUGCCAAAAGGGAAGGGUAGGAGGUCAGAGAUGCGUCGCAGGAUUCAGCCUUGCUUUUGCUUGGUGUUUUUCCUGCGUUGCAGGCCAACGUCGGUUUUGGGCACUGGAGAAGGGUAGGAGGAACGUGGCACCUCUCGGGGUGUGUUAUAGCCUCCUACUGGAUACAGCGACCGAGACCGAGGAACGCAGCGUACUCGUAAGAGCGGGCCUUUUGGCACCUUUACGCUUAGG
This 551-nucleotide ribosomal RNA is filed under the name Pseudozyma hubeiensis. Its description in RNAcentral is "LSU rRNA". It matches the Rfam family "Eukaryotic large subunit ribosomal RNA", at positions 90 to 621 of the family's 3401-position model. The record is from RNAcentral. Lineage: Eukaryota; Fungi; Basidiomycota; Ustilaginomycetes; Ustilaginales; Ustilaginaceae.